UACGGAGGGUGCAAGCGUUGUUCGGAUUGACUGGGCGUAACGGGCGUGUAGGCGGUUGGUUAAGUCAGGUGUGAAAGCCCGGGGCUCCGCUCCGGAAGUGCGCCCGAAACUGGCUAGCUGGAGCGCGGUAGAGGAGGGUGGAAUUCCUGGUGUAGCGGUGAAAUGCGUAGAUAUCAGGAGGAACACCGGCGGCGAAGGCGGCCCUCUGGACCGUUGCUGACGCUGAGACGCGAAAGCGUGGGGAGCAAACAGG
This 253-nucleotide ribosomal RNA is filed under the name uncultured bacterium. Its description in RNAcentral is "partial 16S ribosomal RNA". It matches the Rfam family "Bacterial small subunit ribosomal RNA", at positions 524 to 776 of the family's 1533-position model. The record is from RNAcentral.